Molecule: unclassified non-coding RNA, 363 nt
Filed under: uncultured bacterium
Lineage: Bacteria
Description: contains 16S-23S intergenic spacer region
Source: RNAcentral
UCCCCGUUACCGGGGCAGUAUGAUUAGAAAAAUUCAACUAAUCACAAGGGUUGCGCUCGUUGAUGGACUUAACCAAACAUCUCACGACACGAGCUGACGACGGCCAUGCAGCACCUGUCACUUCGUUCUAAAAAGCACUUGUUCCUUUCGGAGCAAUUCGAAGGAUGUCAAACCCUGGUAAGGUUUAUCGUUUACCGUCGAAUUAAAGAACAUGCUCCACCGCUUGUGCGGGUCCCCGUCAAUUCCUUUAUGUUUUAGCCUUGCGGCCGUACUCCACAGGCGGGAUGCUUAACGCGUUAGCUUCGCUACGGAAGGGGUCGAUACCCCCCACAGCUAGCAUCCAUCGUUUACGGCGUGGACUAC